AGAGAAGAGACAGGAGCUUGUUCUGCUGGCUACUGGGUCAGCCACAGGUGCAUGACUGGCAGCAAAGUGUGAGCUGCCAAGCCAGAGCUUUCAGAUGUCUCCCUUGGCUUGCUCCAGGCUGGUGGCAGUCUGAGAGAGCCAGCUGGACGCCUGUCUCCCCCACAUCCCGGAACUGGGCUCCUUGCGUGUCGACACCCCAGGGAGCAGAAUGGG
Molecule: non-coding RNA, 213 nt
Organism: Pelodiscus sinensis (Chinese soft-shelled turtle)
Lineage: Eukaryota; Metazoa; Chordata; Testudines; Trionychidae
Source: RefSeq, a predicted model, not a curated record